RNAcentral lists this ribosomal RNA (253 nucleotides) under uncultured bacterium. RNAcentral's name for it is "partial 16S ribosomal RNA". It matches the Rfam family "Bacterial small subunit ribosomal RNA", at positions 524 to 776 of the family's 1533-position model. The record is from RNAcentral.
UACAGAGGGUGCAAGCGUUAAUCGGAAUUACUGGGCGUAAAGCGUGCGUAGACGGUUACAUAAGUCAGAUGUGAAAGCCCCGGGCUCAACCUGGGAAUUGCAUUUGAGACUGUGUAGCUAGGGUGCGGAAGAGGGAAGCGGAAUUUCCGGUGUAGCGGUGAAAUGCGUAGAUAUCGGAAGGAACACCAGUGGCGAAAGCGGCUUCCUGGUCCAGCACCGACGUUCAGGCGCGAAAGCGUGGGGAGCAAACAGG